This 324-nucleotide ribosomal RNA is filed under the name uncultured eukaryote. RNAcentral's name for it is "partial 18S ribosomal RNA". It matches the Rfam family "Eukaryotic small subunit ribosomal RNA", at positions 1470 to 1796 of the family's 1831-position model. The record is from RNAcentral.
CCCUUAGAUGUUCUGGGCUGCACGCGCGCUACACUGAUGUGUUCAUCGGGUUCGACCUUGCCCGGGAGGGUUGGGUAAUCCUUUCAAAACACAUCGUGAUGGGGAUAGAUUAUUGCAAUUAUUAAUCUUCAACGAGGAAUUCCUAGUAAGCGCGAGUCAUCAGCUCGUGCUGAUUACGUCCCUGCCCUUUGUACACACCGCCCGUCGCCCCUACCGAUUGAGUGAUCCGGUGAAUAAUUCGGACUGCAGCAGUGUCCAGUUCCUGGACGUUGCAGCGGAAAGUUUAGUGAACCUUAUCACUUAGAGGAAGGAGAAGUCGUAACA